This 612-nucleotide ribosomal RNA is filed under the name Porphyromonas somerae. RNAcentral describes it as "bacterial SSU rRNA". The record is from RNAcentral. Lineage: Bacteria; Pseudomonadati; Bacteroidota; Bacteroidia; Bacteroidales; Porphyromonadaceae.
ACGGAGGAUACGAGCGUUAUCCGGAUUUAUUGGGUUUAAAGGGUGCGUAGGUGGCUGAUUAAGUCAGUGGUGAAAAGCUAUGGCUCAACCAUAGUCUUGCCGUUGAUACUGGUURGCUUGAGUGUAGAUGAUGUAGGCGGAAUGCGUAGUGUAGCGGUGAAAUGCAUAGAUAUUACGCAGAACUCCGAUUGUGAAGGCAGCUUACAAAACUACUACUGACACUGAGGCACGAAAGCGUGGGUAUCAAACAGGAUUAGAUACCCUGGUAGUCCACGCUGUAAACUAUGAUUACUCAGAGUAUGCGAUAUACAGUAUGCUCUCAAGCGAAAGCAUUAAGUAAUCCACCUGGGGAGUACGUCGGCAACGAUGAAACUCAAAGGAAUUGACGGGGGCCCGCACAAGCGGAGGAACAUGUGGUUUAAUUCGAUGAUACGCGAGGAACCUUACCUGGGAUUGAAAUGUAUAGGCUGGCAACUGGAAACAGAUGCUGUUCACUUCGGUGACUUAUAUGUAGGUGCUGCAUGGUUGUCGUCAGCUCGUGCCGUGAGGUGUCGGCUUAAGUGCCAUAACGAGCGCAACCCUUAUCGUUAGUUGCUAACAGGUUAAGCUGAG